RNAcentral lists this ribosomal RNA (497 nucleotides) under uncultured bacterium. Its description in RNAcentral is "partial 16S ribosomal RNA". It matches the Rfam family "Bacterial small subunit ribosomal RNA", at positions 28 to 507 of the family's 1533-position model. The record is from RNAcentral.
GACGAACGCUGGCGGCGUGCCUAAUACAUGCAAGUUGAGCGAUGAAGAUUGGUGCUUGCGCCAAUUUGAAGAGCAGCGAACGGGUGAGUAACGCGUGGGGAAUCUGCCUUUGAGCGGGGGACAACAUUUGGAAACGAAUGCUAAUACCGCAUAACAACUUUAAACAUAAGUUUUAAGUUUGAAAGAUGCAAUUGCAUCACUCAAAGAUGAUCCCGCGUUGUAUUAGCUAGUUGGUGAGGUAAAGGCUCACCAAGGCGAUGAUACAUAGCCGACCUGAGAGGGUGAUCGGCCACAUUGGGACUGAGACACGGCCCAAACUCCUACGGGAGGCAGCAGUAGGGAAUCUUCGGCAAUGGACGAAAGUCUGACCGAGCAACGCCGCGUGAGUGAAGAAGGUUUUCGGAUCGUAAAACUCUGUUGGUAGAGAAGAACGUUGGUGAGAGUGGGAAGCUCAUCAAGUGACGGUAACUACCCAGAAAGGGACGGCUAACUACGUG